RNAcentral lists this ribosomal RNA (459 nucleotides) under uncultured bacterium. RNAcentral describes it as "partial 16S ribosomal RNA". It matches the Rfam family "Bacterial small subunit ribosomal RNA", at positions 338 to 795 of the family's 1533-position model. The record is from RNAcentral.
CCUACGGGGUGCAGCAGUGAGGAAUAUUGGUCAAUGGUCGGGAGACUGAACCAGCCAAGCCGCGUGAGGGAUGAAGGUACAGAGUAUCGUAAACCUCUUUUGUCAGGGAACAAAGGCGGGGACGCGUCCCCGGAUGAGUGUACCUGAAGAAAAAGCAUCGGCUAACUCCGUGCCAGCAGCCGCGGUAAUACGGAGGAUGCGAGCGUUAUCCGGAUUUAUUGGGUUUAAAGGGGGCGCAGGCGUGGUGUUAAGUCAGCGGUAAAAGCCCGGGGCUCAACCCCGGCCCGCCGUUGAAACUGGCAGUCUCGAGUUGGAGAGAGGUAUGCGGAAUGCGCGGUGUAGCGGUGAAAUGCAUAGAUAUCGCGCAGAACUCCGAUUGCGAAGGCAGCAUGCCGGCUCCACACUGACGCUGAGGCACGAAAGCGUGGGUAUCGAACAGGAUUAGAUACCCUUGUAGUC